ACCAAAUCCACUCUUUACACUUGCUAACAAACAGAAUAAAAGACCGCAGGAGCCACCAUGCGGGCAAUUCCAUCUGCGCCUGCGAAAAGUGCGGGGCGAGCGCAGGGCUCCCCAGGCUGCGACCUGCCCCGCCUUCUCUUCUUCUUUCCGGCCUCCCCCUGUGUGGUUGUCUUGUGUUAUUUUUAAUCAACGCAGCCCUAGAAACACAAAUGAGCCGCUCUGGCCGGUCCUCAGCCUGAGAAACCGUCAUUUGUUGCAGGCCUGGAAGAAAACCUGAUUAUAUUGGAUUUAUCGAGAAACGCACUGGUCGCCAGAAUGGCCACCCCCUGGAAGGAAGUUUUAAGGGUGGCAUUGAGGUUCCAUUCCCCUUGGCAGUAUUCCCUGGACUGGGGAUGGAACCAGGGUAAAGGCAGCGAUGCCUCGGGCGCCCCGUCUAUUUCCGGUGGAUAAUGUCACCCUCCGCCGCCUCCUAAGGAGCCGUCUUGCCAGCUUCCUGCAGAUCACAGGCACUUUCGCCCAUCCGCCUUCUGACCUGGGCAUCUCUAAGCUUUCCUUUUGACUCCUUCUCUCUCUCAAAUCGAUGAAAAGGAGAAAUAGCCUUUAUACAUUGCAUUGUGUAUUGUCCCUAGUAGAACAGCUUGUUUGACAGCCAAGUCGGCCAAGUUCUCGCCCCCUCUCUCUCCUUCUCGUUCCUUACCCCAUCUCUCUAGCCUCUUCUCACUUUUCCUUCUGUAUUUCCUUAAUUCAGCUUUGCUUCAACCCACUGUUUGCUGGAACGUUGCCGGAGCUGCGAAUGCAAAAAAGAGCCCUUUGCAGCCCAGAGCCCUGGAGCACAAGCCCCAGGGGGAGACAAGAUGCAUAAAUCCAGACACCAAGGUCAAAGUUCUCUGAACACAGUGACUUCAUCAACCCCGGAGGAAAGAGCCCCUUGAAGACGCUGACCUGUGCAAGGUCGCCCAGGGAGGCAGUGGCCUCCUCGGAGGCUGGGCUCAGGGGUCAGAACCCCCUCUCUGAGCAGCACUCGCUUCACAGACAGAGAGGCAGAAAUUUGCUUCCACCGCGUCCUUUGCCUCAAUAUGAAGGCAUCAUCAGACCGGGUGGAGAACAGUUUAAGCCACAGGAUUAUUUACUCACCCAAUUAGUCAAGCUUGGUCAAUGGUGCUCUUUCAGCCAUCCUGGAGCCUGUGGGAACAGGGCUUCUAAAAUGACAACUAUGUCGGGAAGGCUGUGGUCCAGAGCCGUUUUUGCCGGCUGUAGGCAGGGUCUCUGGAGCCAAAGGGAGCACACAGCUCUUUUUGAAACUGAAGAUGUUUAUGCUUGAGGUGGAACCGAAUUCUGUCUAGGCAAGCGGUGUGCUUAUGUGGACAAAGCAGAGAAUGACACAGUAACUCCUGGUGGAAACACCUACAAAAACCAGAGUGAGCUAGAGUAAGGAACUGGCUCGUGGCAACAGUGGCGUGGUUCGUGCCAGAUCCCAAAGCUACCUUCCUGC
This 1492-nucleotide long non-coding RNA is filed under the name Sus scrofa (pig). RNAcentral's name for it is "lncRNA (ENSSSCG00050002933.1)". Lineage: Eukaryota; Metazoa; Chordata; Mammalia; Artiodactyla; Suidae. The record is from RNAcentral.